GGGGGGGGGGGGGGGGGGGGGGGGGGGGGGGAGGGCGGGCGGGGAGGGCCGGCUGGGGGGGGGUGGUCGAGGGGCGGCCGGGGGAGGAGCGCGUGAGUGACCUGGCCUUGACGUUGGGCUACCUGCCGUAAACUGGGGCUAAUACCGGGUAGGCGCGCCUGCUGCAUGGGUGGGGUGGGCAAGUUUCGGCGGUUGGGGAUGGACUCGCGGCUUAUCAGCUUGUUGGUUGGGUAGUGGCUUACCAAGGCUGUGACGGGUAGCCGGCCUGAGAGGGUGACCGGCCACAUUGGGACUGAGAUACGGCCCAGACUCCUACGGGAGGCAGCAGUGGGGAAUAUUGCACAAUGGGCGGAAGCCUGAUGCAGCAACGCCGCGUGCGGGAUGACGGCCUUCGGGUUGUAAACCGCUUUCGCCUGUGACGAAGCGUGAGUGACGGUAAUGGGUAAAGAAGCACCGGCUAACUACGUG
This 468-nucleotide ribosomal RNA is filed under the name uncultured bacterium. RNAcentral's name for it is "partial 16S ribosomal RNA". It matches the Rfam family "Bacterial small subunit ribosomal RNA", at positions 35 to 507 of the family's 1533-position model. The record is from RNAcentral.